AAGGUUUGGUCCUAGCCUUGAAAUCAGUUUUUAUUUAAUAUACACAUGCAAGUCUCCGCACCCCUGUGAAAACGCCCUCAACCCCCUCAUGGGGGUAGGAGCUGGUAUCAGGCUCAACUUUUGCCCAAGACACCUAGCCUCGCCACACCCACAAGGGACCUCAGCAGUGAUUAACAUUGAGCAUAAGCGUCAGCUUGACUCAGUUAAAUUUUACAGAGCCGGCCAAUCUGGUGCCAGCCGCCGCGGUUAUACCAGAAGCUCAAAUUGAUUUCUAUCGGCGUAAAGCGUGAUUAAAGUUAUAUUCCUCAUGGAGUCAAACUAAAAUUAAGCCGUGACACGCCUGUUACUUAAGAAGCCCAAAAACGAAAGUUACUCCAACUCUCUCCACUUGAACUCACGACAUCUGAGAAACAAACUGGGAUUAGAUACCCCACUAUGCUCAGUCGUAAACCUUUAACUACACCCACUCUCGCCUGGGAACUACGAGCCAAGCUUAAAACCCAAAGGACUUGACGGUACCCCACAUCCACCUAGAGGAGCCUGUCCUAUAAUCGAUAACCCACGUUUAACCUCACCAUUUUUAGCCUAUCAGCCUGUAUACCUCCGUCGUCAGCUUACCACGUGAGCGUUAGUGAGCUUAAUGUUACUCAACCAUACGUCAGGUCAAGGUGCAACUUAUGAAAUGGGAAGAGAUGGGCUACACUUUCUAACUUAGAACACACGAAAGAUCACCAAUGAAAAUUUGUCAGAAGGCGGAUUUAGCAGUAAACAGAAACCAAUAAGUUCCGUUUAAUCCGGCACUGGGAUGCGUACACACCGCCCGUCACCCUCCUCUAACGCUAUAACACAGUUUUUAACCUACUAAAGCUUCUCAGAAGAGGUAAGUCGUAACAUGGUAAGUAUACCGGAAGGUGUGCUUGGAUAA
This 925-nucleotide non-coding RNA is filed under the name Mannophryne orellana (Orellana's collared frog). RNAcentral describes it as "12S ribosomal RNA". It matches the Rfam family "Bacterial small subunit ribosomal RNA". The record is from RNAcentral. Lineage: Eukaryota; Metazoa; Chordata; Amphibia; Anura; Aromobatidae.